GGGCUUUGGUUGUAUAUAUAGAAUGUUAUUAGACAGCUGGUCAAAUAGUUGUAUGAUCGGAUGAUCCCAAGAUUGCAGGAUCGUUGCACAUACUAUUAUAGGCGAGAUAAUCCAGCCCUUAAUCGCUCCCGUGGAGUGAGGAGGCCGUUAUUGGCAAUAUACUGAGUGGAGGAUUUGAAUAUCCUUAAAGAUCAUGUCUAAUCUUUUGACC
This 211-nucleotide long non-coding RNA is filed under the name Elaeis guineensis (African oil palm). RNAcentral's name for it is "long non-coding RNA (EGUI_LNC008584)". Lineage: Eukaryota; Viridiplantae; Streptophyta; Magnoliopsida; Arecales; Arecaceae. The record is from RNAcentral.